CGCUAGCUACAGGCUUAACACAUGCAAGUCGAGGGGCAGCAUGGUCUUAGCUUGCUAAGGCCGAUGGCGACCGGCGCACGGGUGAGUAACACGUAUCCAACCUGCCGUCUACUCUUGGACAGCCUUCUGAAAGGAAGAUUAAUACAAGAUGGCAUCAUGAGUCCGCAUGUUCACAUGAUUAAAGGUAUUCCGGUAGACGAUGGGGAUGCGUUCCAUUAGAUAGUAGGCGGGGUAACGGCCCACCUAGUCUUCGAUGGAUAGGGGUUCUGAGAGGAAGGUCCCCCACAUUGGAACUGAGACACGGUCCAAACUCCUACGGGAGGCAGCAGUGAGGAAUAUUGGUCAAUGGACGAGAGUCUGAACCAGCCAAGUAGCGUGCAGGAAGACGGCCCUAUGGGUUGUAAACUUCUUUUGUCCGGGAAUAAAACCGCCUACGUGUAGGCGCUUGUAUGUACCGGUACGAAUAAGCAUCGGCUAACUCCGUGCCAGCAGCCGCGGUAAUACGGAGGAUGCGAGCGUUAUCCGGAUUUAUUGGGUUUAAAGGGAGCGCAGACGGGUUUUUAAGUCAGCUGUGAAAGUUUGGGGCUCAACCUUAAAAUUGCAGUUGAUACUGGAGACCUUGAGUGCAGUUGAGGCAGGCGGAAUUCGUGGUGUAGCGGUGAAAUGCUUAGAUAUCACGAAAAACUCCGAUUG
This 693-nucleotide ribosomal RNA is filed under the name uncultured Bacteroides sp. RNAcentral's name for it is "bacterial SSU rRNA". It matches the Rfam family "Bacterial small subunit ribosomal RNA", at positions 34 to 715 of the family's 1533-position model. Lineage: Bacteria; Pseudomonadati; Bacteroidota; Bacteroidia; Bacteroidales; Bacteroidaceae. The record is from RNAcentral.